GUGGGGAAUAUUGGGCAAUGGGCGAAAGCCUGACCCAGCAACGCCGCGUGAGGGAAGAAGGCCUUCGGGUUGUAAACCUCUGUCCUUGGUGACGAAAAAAAUGACGGUAGCCAAGGAGGAAGCCCCGGCUAACUACGUGCCAGCAGCCGCGGUAAUACGUAGGGGGCGAGCGUUGUCCGGAAUUACUGGGCGUAAAGGGUGCGUAGGUGGCCUUUUAAGUUGGAUGUGAAAUACCCGGGCUUAACUUGGGGGGUGCAUCUAAUACUGGAGGGCUAGAGUGCAGGAGAGGGAAGCGGAAUUCCUAGUGUAGCGGUGAAAUGCGUAGAUAUUAGGAGGAACACCAGUGGCGAAGGCGGCUUCCUGGCACAAUACUGACGCUCAUGUGCGAAAGCUAGGGCAGCGAACGGGAUUAGAAACCCUGGUAGUCC
RNAcentral lists this ribosomal RNA (428 nucleotides) under uncultured bacterium. RNAcentral describes it as "partial 16S ribosomal RNA". It matches the Rfam family "Bacterial small subunit ribosomal RNA", at positions 354 to 796 of the family's 1533-position model. The record is from RNAcentral.